RNAcentral lists this long non-coding RNA (449 nucleotides) under Ursus maritimus (polar bear). RNAcentral describes it as "lncRNA (ENSUMAG00000025240.1)". The record is from RNAcentral. Lineage: Eukaryota; Metazoa; Chordata; Mammalia; Carnivora; Ursidae.
CUUUAUCCACGUGUUCAUUUGGCAAAUUCUCAACCCUCUCUGUGCCUGACCUUUGCUAGGUGCUGAGGACAUAACGGUGAGCAAGAGAAAUCACUGCCCUUGUUCCCGCUGAUCCUGCAGCCCAGUGGAUGGAGCCCACAGUCCACAGACCUGCCAGGAAAGAAAAAAAUUUUCCUGAUGGUUGUUCCAAGCAGGGACUCCCCAGUGGAUUGAGGAAUGUGUGGCUUUUCCUCAACUCGUUGGUCUCUGUGGUAGCCACGGGCAGCACCCAAAGGACCCCAAGAAUGAAAGGCCUGUGGUCUGCAAGUUGCUGCUAGAGAUAUUUUAGCCUGUCCAGAUAACAGAAUGCAGUUGUCCUACAAGUUCCUAAGGGCCUUGGGCGCACGCUGACCGCUCCGGGGCAGGCGCGCCCUUCGCUCCAGGUCCCGGCAGGGGCGCUGCCAUAGCAA